This is a ribosomal RNA of 1061 nucleotides. The stretch from base 648 to 1061 matches the Rfam family "Bacterial large subunit ribosomal RNA", at positions 2048 to 2700 of the family's 2925-position model.
CUCGAAAUAGAAUGAUUUACUUAAUAAUUUAUUGUUAACGUGGUAAGGUUAUAAUUUAAUUAUAAAGUAGGGGUGAAAUGUUUAUCGAAUUUUAUGAUAGCUAGUUUAUUAGUUUAGAAUAUUUUAGUAUUGUAGUAUUUAAAUUAUUUUAAAUAAUUUAAUAUUAUUGAUUAUAUAAGGGAUAAGCUUUAUAUUUUUAAUAGAUGUAUUAAAUAAUAAUUAUUUAGUAUUAUAAAGUAGGGUUAAUAAUGUUCUUCUUUUUUAUAUAAUAAUAUUAUUAUAUAUGUGAAUCAUGUGUAUUAUUAAUAAAUUUUUAUUAAUUAUUAGAUAAUUAAAUAUUAUGUUAAUAUGAGUAUUUGUUAUAAAGAUAUUAUUUAAUUAAUUAAAUUGUAAUAGGUUAUAUUUUAAUAAUAAAAUUAAAUAAAGUAAAGGAAUUAGGCAAAUAUAAAUCUCGCCUGUUUAACAAAAACAUGUCUCUUUGUUAAUAGAAAAUAAAGAGUCGUACCUGCUCGGUGAAUUUAAUUUUAACAGCUGCGGUAUUUUAACUGUACUAAGGUAGCAUAAUAAUUUGCCUUAUAAAUUGAGGCUAGAAUGAAUGGUUUGACGAAGGUUUAACUGUCUCUAUUUUAUUUAUUAGAAUUUAAUUUUUAAAGUGAAAAAGCUUGAAUAUUUUAAAGGGACGAGAAGACCCUAUGAGCUUAAAUUUAAAAGUUUAUUAUUUGUUAUAGACUUUUAAAAUUUUAAUUGGGGUGAUUAAGGAAUAAUUUUUAAAAGGUAACUUCCUUAAAUAUAAAGUUGUUAGAUUAAUUAACCAAUUUAUAUUGCUUAUAAAAAAGUUACCGUAGGGAUAACAGCGUAAUUUAUUUAAAGAGUUCAUAUUGAAAAAUAAGAUUGCGACCUCGAUGUUGGAUUAAGGUUACCUUAAGGUGCAGCGGCUUUAAUAGGUAAAUCUGUUCGAUUUUUAAAACUUUACAUGAUCUGAGUUCAGACCGGUGUAAGCCAGGUCGGUUUCUAUCUUUUAAAUAGUUAAUUUUUUUUUUAGUACGAAAGGACCAUUAAGA